Long non-coding RNA from Equus caballus (horse), 2213 nucleotides. RefSeq lists it as uncharacterized. Lineage: Eukaryota; Metazoa; Chordata; Mammalia; Perissodactyla; Equidae. The record is from RefSeq and is a predicted model, not a curated record.
GGCCAAUCUUCCUCACCAAAGGGAAAAAAACCCACCAGCCUUGAGAGUAAACCACAUUGUCCUUCCAAAAUCCUAGUUCCUCUGAGUUACACAUCCUACUAUAUACCAACUCACAUACGAACAAUAUGCAGAUGUUCUUUGAACCCAGGUUAUAAAAGAUCCCUAUUUAUAAAAAGUUCUUAAUCAUAUUCACAAAAUUCCUUACAUAUUCUAAAAGUUUUCAGAACUAUUCUUUUUCUGGUCCUACUGGUCUCUAAGUCAACACAGAACACUUGUUAAGAUUUCCUUUUAAUUUGACAUUGUUUUAUUUUGCAUAAUCGUUGCCUAUAUAAAAGUCUAUCAGUUUUUGACUUUUUAAAAGAUAUUAUUUUUUUUAAAUAUAUGAUUUCCUGCCUCUUCAACAUGAGUGAAUACACGAGCAUAUAAUCCUCUUUCAAACCACAACUAUUAGGAUGGGGCAAAAAUUGAAAGGAAAUGGUGAUUUUCCACCAGUGGGCUACUUAGUGUUGUUUCAUAUUUAACUUUCUCAUCACCAGGGAAACACGGGCUGUUUUUGAUGAUUUUUAAAAACUAGUGAUUGAAAAGCUGGUUUUGUCUCUAAGGGACCUUCUUUGAGGAGUGUGUGAUUCCUAAGACUCUGCAUUCGUUAGUUGGUCACCAGAAAGUGACAGAGGAGCCUUUAUAGCGAGCUGACUUUUCUGAGGUUUCAUUUUACGUUUCAAGAGCUGUGUGUUCUAACAUCACUCAACUGAAAAGAGAUCCUGUAGGUGUAAUAAGGAGGAGAGUAAAAGAGAUGAAACAGCUGGCCUGUGGUAGCCACAUUUAAGAGCUCCAGAACUCCCCAGUAUUCCAAGGAAUUAUGACAUGCGUGAUAAUUCCUAAGAGUAUAAUCAUUCCUUCCGAGGGAGAAGCCACAGCAGUAACCAAAAAGUGAGCUAGGACCCAGAAAAGGGCUAUCUGUUUAGCACCUGAAGAAAAAAACCAAAUUACCCCCAAAUCUAAACUAAGAUCUUCAUCUUCUAAAGAACUUAAAAACCUCGUACUUCUAAGAUAACUCCCUGGCCCCAUUCCAACUGCUACGUGACCUUGCAGAAACCUCUUUUGAAGUUUUCUGUGUCUAUAAAACCUGGAUAAUAAUACUCUCUGUCCCAGAUGGCUGGAAUUGUAUGAAUUAAUUAGUUCAAGCUGGAAAGGUCUCUGAUAAUGAACGAGUGCCGGCUAGCUCGCUUGAAGAUGAGAGACCAUGUGGAGCAGAGCUGAACUGGUCCGUCUGAGGCCAACCCAGCAGAGCCAGCCUCCAGCUGACCAGGAAGCUGAUCACAGACCCAUGAGCGAGCCCAGCAAAGAUCAGCAUAGUGCAGCCCUGAUCAGCCAGCAAAACUACCCAGCCAACUUGUAGAUUUGUCAUAAUCAGCACACCUGUUGAAGUUCUCACUGCCAUCAGAUCGUCUCUGAAUUACAGUCCAUCCUCCUCCAUCAGACAUGUCACAAUAAACGGAGAAUUCUGCUGGGCUCUCGAGAGGUUUGAUUUUGUAAAAUCCACUGCGCUUAUACCCAUCAUUGAAAAUCUCUGAACAAUCUGUUUGCAAAACAAGGUCUGCUCCCAGCACUCUCAACACAGGGAUCAGAUUUUCAGCUCUUCAGCCUCAGUCUUCUCAUGACUCGCGGCCCAGUCCCAGUAACAACAUCCAGUUGCUCGCUCCUGCCAUUAUCUGACACUUGAAUCUGUGUUGACAGCCUGCUCAUACUGUUUGAACAGACACCCUGGGUCUUGAUCUUGAUUUGGAAUGUGGACUAUGUUACUUCUCCUGCGGCCAUCAGUUCCUUCCCUUGAGGUCAAUGACGCUAUUCUCCUCUCCUUUAUCGAGGAGCUGGACUUCCUUCUCGUGCAAAAGCUGCGCAAUCUUGACUUGUUGCUGUUUGACCCGGGUCUCAAGCUGGUGCACCUGGGCUCGGAGCCGCGCCUGCUCCUGGAGACAGUUCUCGAGAGCCUGCGAAGCAACACACAUCUCGUUCUCAUGGAAAGUAAAUGCUCUGAAUGUCAGAUAAAUUAAUGAUUCAAUUUUGGCCCUAACUCACAUUUUAGAAUAUUGUUCUAACCGGAAAGUAGUUUGAAAGUUCUAAUACUAUUUAUUGUUUGAAGAAUAAGAAAUGACGGCUUAUGCAAAAGUGCUUGGACUAAAAAAUUAUAUAAAAUAAUGUAAAUGACUACA